GUUUCAUAAAAAUUUUAUAUAGAAUUUUAUUUUUUAGUUAAAAAGCUAAAAUUUAUUCAAAAGACGAGAAGACCCUAUAAAUCUUUAUUAUUUAAAUUAUUUUAUUUAAAUUUGAUUAAUAAUUUGGUAAUAGUUUAAAUAAUUUUAUUGGGGUGAUAGUAAAAUUUAAAAAACUUUUAUUUAUAUUUAUCAAUAAUUUUUGAUUUUUUGAUCCAUUUAUAGUGAUUAAAAAUUUAAGUUACUUUAGGGAUAACAGCGUAAUAUUUUUGGAGAGUUCUUAUCGAUAAAAAUGUUUGCGACCUCGAUGUUGGAUUAAGAUUCAUAUUUAAAUGCAGAAGUUUAAAUAUAAAGUCUGUUCGACUUUUUAUUCUUACAUGAUCUGAGUUCAGACCGGCGUAAGCCAGGUUGGUUUCUAUCUUUGAAUAAUAAAAUAUUUUAGUACGAAAGGAAUAAGUAUUUAUUUUUAAGAAAUUUAUUUUUGAAU
Molecule: ribosomal RNA, 484 nt
Filed under: Teleopsis sp. n. 'longiconus'
Lineage: Eukaryota; Metazoa; Arthropoda; Insecta; Diptera; Diopsidae
Description: partial 16S ribosomal RNA
Rfam family: Bacterial large subunit ribosomal RNA (bases 249-407)
Source: RNAcentral